ACCAAAUUUAAAAACCUGGCCAGACCAAAAACAACCACCCAAUUAGGUUUUCUCAGCUAGCAGCAGCAAGCAUGACAAUAGUCAAACAUCAACAACCCAAUUAGCCACUCAAAGCAAAGCCCAUACAUAGCAGCAGCACCAGUAGCAGCAGCAGAAAGCAGUAGCAGUUAAAUAGUAGCAACGUAGCAGCAUCAAUUGCAUUAACUAAGCUCCAGCAGCCAAACCCACUAAGCAGUCCAGUAGUAGAGGCACUCAAACCAGGAAAUCAGACCAUUGCAGCAGAAGGAGCCCAAUUUUAUAGCCAACAGCUGUAGCAACAACAUCCCUUCGCCCCAACAGCUCAAGACCAGCAGCCCAAAUGAGAACAAAGGCAGUCUGCAUCUCAAAUCAAUAAUUUUAAAGUAUAUAUUUUGUAGUUGUUUAAAGAAAGUUCAUCCCACUCAAUAUGAAAAUCUUUGGGCUGAUCCUCCAUUCUAAAGUCGUAAAAUUAUUUUCUUACCUCCAACGCAUUGUACACCACAUAAAGUUUGAUUGUCCCUUAACUACGAAUUAUGUGAUAUAUUAGGCUCCUCUUAGUUUAACAAAAUAAAAAUCAAAAGAAGGAAGUUAGCAUACAACGAAACCUAAUUCAAAUGUGGCACAUCAUAUUUGUUCUCUACUUAACAGCCAUAGAAACCAGUAGAAAGAAAAUCAGUUUUAGCAACAAAAUAAAAAAGAAAAACAAUAGUAAAGAGCAUAAAUUCUUACAAAACAUGUCUGCUGAAAAAGAAUGACCCCACAAACAAGUGCAAAAAAACAACCAAAAUCAGAAAAGUCUGCAGCUGAAGGCCUCUUGAACUGCCCCACAAGCAUGAUCAGGUUACUUUAAAUAACAAAAUUAUACAAACUCAACAACACUCUAAGUUUCAUAGCACGAACAUACCUGUGGUUUUACCUGCGCUAAGUUUCAUAGCACGAACAUCA
Molecule: long non-coding RNA, 963 nt
Filed under: Panax ginseng (ginseng)
Lineage: Eukaryota; Viridiplantae; Streptophyta; Magnoliopsida; Apiales; Araliaceae
Description: long non-coding RNA (PGIN_LNC001626)
Source: RNAcentral